RNAcentral lists this ribosomal RNA (325 nucleotides) under uncultured eukaryote. RNAcentral describes it as "partial 18S ribosomal RNA". It matches the Rfam family "Eukaryotic small subunit ribosomal RNA", at positions 1470 to 1796 of the family's 1831-position model. The record is from RNAcentral.
CCCUUAGAUGUUCUGGGCCGCACGCGCGCUACACUGAUGCAUUCAACGAGUCUAAAACCUGCUCUGAUAGGGGUGGGUAAUCUUUUGAAUGUGCAUCGUGAUUGGGAUAGAUGAUUGCAAUUUUUCAUCUUCAACGAGGAAUGCCUAGUAAACGCAAGUCAUCAGCUUGCAUUGAUUACGUCCCUGCCCUUUGUACACACCGCCCGUCGCACCUACCGAUUGAAUGUUUCGGUGAAGAUUCCGGAUAGGACUUUUUUGAUUUAUUUCAAUUUUGUCUUAAAAGCUAUCUAAACCUCAACAUUUAGAGGAAGGUGAAGUCGUAACA